Molecule: ribosomal RNA, 406 nt
Filed under: uncultured bacterium
Lineage: Bacteria
Description: partial 16S ribosomal RNA
Rfam family: Bacterial small subunit ribosomal RNA
Source: RNAcentral
AUUGAACGCUGGCGGCGGGCCUAACACAUGCAAGUCGAACGAGUGGCGGACGGGUGAGUAAUGUCUGGGAAUCUGCAUGAUGGAGGGGGAUAACUACUGGAAACGGUAGCUAGUACCGCAUACCAGCGGAUGUGCCCAGAUGGGAAUAGCUUGUAGGGGGGGUAAAGGCUCACCUAGGUGACGAUCCAUAGCUGGUAUGAGAGGAUGACCAGCCACACUGGAACGUGGACACGGUCCAGACUCCGACGGGAGGCAGCAGUGGGGAAUAUUGCAAAAUGGGCGCAAGCCUAAUGCAGCCAUGCCGAGUGUAUGAAGAAGGCCUUCGGGUUGUAAAGUACUUUCAGCGGGGAGGCGUUACCCGCAGAAGAAGCACCGGCUAAAUCCGUGCCAGCAGCCGCGGUAAUAC